UACGAAGGACCCGAGCGUUAUCCGGAUUUAUUGGGUUUAAAGGGUGCGUAGGCGGAUUAAUAAGUCAGUGGUGAAAGCCCAUCGCUCAACGAUGGAAUUGCCAUUGAUACUGUUAAUCUUGAGUACGGUUGAGGUGGGCGGAAUGUGUCAUGUAGCGGUGAAAUGCUUAGAUAUGACACAGAACACCAAUUGCGAAGGCAGCUCGCUAAACCGUAACUGACGCUGAGGCACGAAAGCGUGGGGAGCAAACAGG
RNAcentral lists this ribosomal RNA (253 nucleotides) under uncultured bacterium. RNAcentral's name for it is "partial 16S ribosomal RNA". It matches the Rfam family "Bacterial small subunit ribosomal RNA", at positions 524 to 776 of the family's 1533-position model. The record is from RNAcentral.